This 236-nucleotide ribosomal RNA is filed under the name uncultured Actinomycetales bacterium. RNAcentral describes it as "partial 16S ribosomal RNA". It matches the Rfam family "Bacterial small subunit ribosomal RNA", at positions 97 to 334 of the family's 1533-position model. Lineage: Bacteria; Bacillati; Actinomycetota; Actinomycetes; Actinomycetales. The record is from RNAcentral.
GGCGAACGGGUGAGUAACACGUGAGUAACCUGCCCUUGACUUUGGGAUAACUUCAGGAAACUGGGGCUAAUACCGGAUAGGAGCUCCUGCUGCAUGGUGGGGGUUGGAAAGUUUCGGCGGUUGGGGAUGGACUCGCGGCUUAUCAGCUUGUUGGUGGGGUAGUGGCUUACCAAGGCUCUGACGGGUAGCCGGCCUGAGAGGGUGACCGGCCACAUUGGGACUGAGAUACGGCCCAG